AGCACCCGAGGGCAGGACAAGAAACAAUGGUUGGAAACUGAUCAAAGAGAGAAGCAACCUGGAAUUAAGGCAGCAUCAGCUGGAGGUGACCAGCAAUUGGCCCUCACCCACUUCACACACAUCCAGCUCUGUGGACUCUGAGGGAGGAGACUCCGCAAGUGACAUGCCCCCCAGCCUGGGAUAUUUAAGGGAUUUCAAUUGAUCUUGAUAAAAAAAUUGUUACUUCUCAAAAUAGGAUUUCUAUUGGAAGCAGCAAAGGAACUGCUCCCUUUUCAUCUUCUGGAACAGUAGAAGCCUAAUUUACACGGGUGACUUUUUUUGCAUGUGACUUAGGGUAGAACCCAGUUGGCAGAUUUUUAUGAUGCCAAUGAAUCCCAUCUUGUGAAAGGUGUUUUGGAGACUUACACUGAGGACCUGAUGAGCUAAUCAUCCCUGAAGGAGUGGGGAUGUCAUUACAAUAUAAAUUAGCAAUGAGAAGCUGGAUUCUGACCACCAAAAUUUCUCCAGAACAAGGAAAGAUCAUUCACAUGUACUCUGGAUUUCUUUUCUGAAGUACUCUGCACGAUCCAAUUUGUUUGUGGUCAGUUGGUACUGAAGGGGCAUAUAAUAGUACUCUAUCUUCUUUUUUCACCACAAACCAACCUUGUGAAACUGAUUGGGUUGAGAAGGAGGGACUGUGUCAGAAUCAUUGAGUUUCUACAGUGAAGGUAGACAAGAAGCUGACUGUUGCUGUUCCUACUCCAACACCAUAAUAAUGCUAUGCAGAAGAAGUUAACUUUGAAGCAAGCAAUAGCAAAGGCAUGCAGUGGUAUACAUUUUAUAUUCACUCUUUAUUUUUCUUCCCCCUGGAAAUAAGAGAUUGCUCAAAUGACAGAAAGAUGCCAAAUAAAAAAUAUAUCUGGCUAAGUAAUCAUACAAUAACACAUUUUCAUGCUCUGCAUUGUAUUAUUUAAAAUAUUGCACACAACACCAUUCUGAGACUUUUUCAGAUAUAGAAAUUAUCAAGUAUUUUUAUCUUGUAGAUCUCGUUCUACAUCCCUUCUUGCCAAUUUGUUAAUAUAUAAAGUUAGUCAUCAUUAGAGAGAGAAAUUCUGGCUAAAACAAAUAAUGAAAUCCAACAAGCCUUGAUGUAAUUUUUCAGUCUUGGAAUAGUUACCCAACCAGAAAUAUUCAUUUUAACAACACUGAUAACAAAAUAGAAUAUAGUUAUUUGCUUCAUUAAGUUGUAUCAAUAUUGACCAUAGCUUGGCAGCUUCCUAUAUAUAAUGGUAAUUGGUACUCAACUGCUUUGAAACUCAUUUGGUACUCAACAUAUUUUGAUGUGAAAAUUUUGUCCAGGUCAUUGUUUGUUUGGUAUUCAACGAACAAGCUGGAACUUGUUGGGAUUAGUUGCCUUAUAAUUCACUACAUUAUUUCUCAUAGAAAAAAUUUGAUUGAUAUUGAUAUUCAUCAUUUUUGGUAUUCAUUGUGCCCCUCAGAACCAAUUAAACUGUCAAUGCUGCAAAUACUGUAUAUUCUUGCUUUGACAAUAUGCAAAACUGUCUGGUAUUUACUGGGUUAAUACAUAGCUUAGA
Long non-coding RNA from Crotalus tigris (Tiger rattlesnake), 1574 nucleotides. RefSeq lists it as uncharacterized. Lineage: Eukaryota; Metazoa; Chordata; Lepidosauria; Squamata; Viperidae. The record is from RefSeq and is a predicted model, not a curated record. The transcript has 4 exons.